This 619-nucleotide ribosomal RNA is filed under the name uncultured Thiobacillus sp. RNAcentral's name for it is "bacterial SSU rRNA". It matches the Rfam family "Bacterial small subunit ribosomal RNA", at positions 909 to 1532 of the family's 1533-position model. Lineage: Bacteria; Pseudomonadati; Pseudomonadota; Betaproteobacteria; Nitrosomonadales; Thiobacillaceae. The record is from RNAcentral.
AUUGACGGGGACCCGCACAAGCGGUGGAUGAUGUGGAUUAAUUCGAUGCAACGCGAAAAACCUUACCUACCCUUGACAUGUCCGGAAUCCUGCAGAGAUGCGGGAGUGCCCGAAAGGGAAUCGGAACACAGGUGCUGCAUGGCUGUCGUCAGCUCGUGUCGUGAGAUGUUGGGUUAAGUCCCGCAACGAGCGCAACCCUUAUCAUUAGUUGCUACGCAAGGGCACUCUAAUGAGACUGCCGGUGACAAACCGGAGGAAGGUGGGGAUGACGUCAAGUCCUCAUGGCCCUUAUGGGUAGGGCUUCACACGUCAUACAAUGGUCGGUACAGAGGGUUGCCAAGCCGCGAGGUGGAGCCAAUCCCAGAAAGCCGAUCGUAGUCCGGAUUGUUCUCUGCAACUCGAGAGCAUGAAGUCGGAAUCGCUAGUAAUCGCGGAUCAGCAUGUCGCGGUGAAUACGUUCCCGGGUCUUGUACACACCGCCCGUCACACCAUGGGAGUGGAAUCUGGCAGAAGUAGGUAGCCUAACCGCAAGGAGGGCGCUUACCACGCUGGGUUUCAUGACUGGGGUGAAGUCGUAACAAGGUAGCCGUAGGGGAACCUGCGGCUGGAUCACCUCCUU